AACAAAGCUACAUUUAAAAGGUUAAGUCAAAUAAACCCAGCUACAAAAGGGCUUAUAAAAUAAUCAUAGUCGUGAACAGCAAGGAAAGAGAUCAGCCACUGAAAGCAUAAAGGGAAUACUUCGUGGAUGGCCGCACUUUAAAUAAAAUUCACGUGAGCUAUGUAACAUUAGAUGGUUUUAAAAUUCGGAGGACAAAGUACAGACAUGUUUGUGCAUUUCUCUUUCCUUGGAUGAGUCUUUGUGAAUUGGGUCUGGACCACAUACAGUACUCUGCUGCUUGCACACACGGAGCUGGCAAGUUUACUUUGGUGUUUUCCACACGGAACCUUGUGCACUAUCAAGAGACAAGAACAAUUCUAUCUCCCUCCUAAAGACGAAAGUGACACCAAAUUCCGGCUUGAUCUGCUCAGUCUCAGAACCAGUAUCCGUUUGAAAUACUGUCCGAGCAACUUCCUAGAAUCUUGGGAAGCCAGCCGGUCAUCCCAGGCUGCCCUGCCCUCUGUGAGAAUGACAGCAUUUGGAAGGAGGCUCGGCAUACGAAAUUUAAAAGUAAAUGUUUGGCAGUUUUGGAGGUCCUCAAGUUUGGCAAGUCCAAAUCCGCUCAAGAAACCCUUCAGGCGUCCUGAUGCAGAAGGCGGGAGGGAGAUGCCCGUGUGGAAGCUCCAAGCUGCCAAAGAAGCAAAGAGCCAAGAAAUCUUGGAUGAAGACUAAGCAUAGCUGGGUGACCCUGAGCAAGUCACUUCAUCUCCUUACUUUUCACUUGAAAAUGAGGAUGGAUUCCUAGAAGUGGAAUUAUUGUGUCUAAUGGCAUAAAUUUUUUCAAGGCUCUUUAUACACUAAAGCCUAAUAGCUUGCCAGAAUAUUUAUAUCAAUCUACACUCCAACAGCAUAUGAAAGUGGACAGUGUAAUAAUGACUCUGGCAGUUUAGGUAUCUCUAAAUAAAAGGAAUACUUUACCCUGAAUUUUGUGAAGAUAAAGAAAGAAUUUCCACAAGCAGAAGGACCUACAACUAGAAUAUGCAGCUAUGUACUGGGGGAGCUUUGGGGAGAAGAAGAAGAAAGAAAAAAAAUAAAAGAAGAUUGGCAACAGAUGUUAGCUCAGGUGCCCAUCUCUUAAAAAAAAAGGAAAGAAUUUGUCAAGAAUUACUCUACUCACACUCUGUAUUAAAAUUCUACAUAUUUUAUCAUAUAUGCAUAUGUAUAUGAUAUCAACUUACAAUUCUGCCACAACAGGAAAC
Molecule: long non-coding RNA, 1238 nt
Filed under: Equus caballus (horse)
Lineage: Eukaryota; Metazoa; Chordata; Mammalia; Perissodactyla; Equidae
Description: lncRNA (ENSECAG00000046925.1)
Source: RNAcentral